CUGCUGAGUCGCUGCGAUGCAACAGCUGCUCACAUCCACUGCUGCUGCAGGAAAUUGCGGAGUGUGGCUGAGAGGGAAGAGGCUGGCGAUGAUUUGCAUAGCACACAAGCUCACAGCCCGGAGCCUGGUUUUACAAUUCAUGAUACAGCGCCUUCAGAAGCAGCUGCGGAGCUCUCAGUGCCGAGCAGGGUGCUGCUCCCCUGAGAACCUGCCCUGCAGCAUGGCCGUGCCUGACCUGUGCUCAGCUCCUGCAGGCUGUGCUCAGAUGGAGCAGGAGUGCUCUGCUUGGCCUUGGUUUUCCACAAGGCCUCGAGCAAUGCUGGGUUUUUGAUGUGUUUUAGAGUCCUAAGAUCCAUUUAAACUGGUGUGAGGCAGGAUAACCCUGGAGGCUUCGCUAAAGGAGAGACAAAAGUGAUGCAAACAGAGGUGCACUGAUGAAGGAUACAGAUGGGGAUUAUGGUUAUGGUUGGAAAUGUUAAAACCUUGGAUUUGAAAGGGUAAACAAAGCUAAUGAGACUGAAAACCCACACUGAAGCCACAGCAAAUAGUGAUCACACCAAAGGUAGCAAUGAUCAGUAAACAAUUAGGAGCAAUGUUCUGCCCCAACCAGCACCGCUGGAGCAAGAUGCAGCUAAUUCCCAGCAACAGGAAAAGAGGAGAUGGGAAAAAAAAAACAGGAUUCUGAGCGCACAGCCAAUGAAAUUAAACUAAGAAUUAAUUUCAUCCAUUAGAACUGAUUGUUGUAAAUUAAAACUAGAGGAAAAUAAUUGGUAGCAUGUAGCUCUUAGUGUUUGAUACAGAUUAGAGGAAUUAGAUUUUUUUAUUAGGAACACUAAACUCAUCUGCCGUGCUCUCGUGUCUUCAGCAAUAUGCAUUUUUCCUGAUUACAGCAUGCAGCCUGUUGGCACAGCGAGGUUGGUGGCCACAGCAUUUGCUUCAUUAGGACGCGUGUCCUCGGCCAUUCAUGCCUUGGUGACUCACGCUGGGCUCGAAACGAGUUCCCCAUCGAGCAGAGAGGAGUCUGCUGCUCCCAGGACACUGCAGAGCAGCUGGCCACUGGUCCAGCAUCUCCACGGAUUGUCCAAUACCCAGGAAAGCAAUUGCCUUUGGUGCAGGGAGCGCUCAUUGAGCCUUAUUUUCCGCAGCGCUGGUCUGCUCCAGCUGCUCCUGCUCGGUGCAAUGAUCUCUGCUACUGAGCUAAGCCCUCAGGAAGCAGGCAGUAUCUGGUGGUGAGCCCAUCCUGCUGAUUCAGCUUCCAUUUGCAAACAUCCUUUGGGUCUGCUGCUCCUGGUUCUGCUCUGCUCCUUCCCUUGCUAGCUGCAGACCCUGGCCCACAGAGCCCCCUGCUAAACCUCGAAGCCCAGUGCUGUCACCCUGUGUUUGCACAGGGGCUGUUGCUCCCUGAGCUGUUCCUUUAUCAAUACUCCUUUACAGCAUUGAAGGGUUUGGAGAGCGAAGCUCUCACCCCAGCACAGCCAGAACUGCAGGAGUUAAGCUUUCCUCUUCCCCUCUGUUCGAAGAUAUUUUCUCACCAGGUGAAAAGCAUCAGAAAGACCCAGCUUUGUGCUGCCGUGGAGUUUAGAAAGUGGCAGGAAAUUAAGUUAUAUGUGAGCUGUUCUGCUUUUCUCAGAGGUUAUUUUUAUGCAUUUAUUUAAUUAAUUCCUUUGGCUUAUAUAAGAGGAAUAGGAUUUUGCAUGUAUGCAGUGCUCCCUUUCCCAAGGACCUCAAAACAUUUCACAGAACAGAAACGGGCCCCGCUGCUUCCCCUGGGCAAACACUUGGCCCCAAAAAGAGCUGCGGGGCCUUCCCUAAGACGCAAAGGGAAGCGAAAAACACCCUAAAACUGAGGGAGGACUGCGGGGAGCAAGACCGAGGCUGAUUAGCUGACAGUGUGCCAUGCAAUUAAGCUUACACCAUGACUUUUGCUGAGGGUUCUGUGGGAUGCUCAGCGAGCCCAGCAGUCCACUUCCCAUCUUUUGGGAGAGGAGCAGAAGGCAAAACCCUCCUCAGCACGCACUGCCAUCAGCAGGAGCUGACAGAGAGGGAGCAGUGCCACCUACUGCAGCAGCAGCACCUGGCUCACUCGGAACAAGCUAAAAUAGCAACUUCUUGUUUUGUAGUUGGGAAUAUAAAGAAAAAGGGGGGAAAAGGGGAGGAGGGAGGGAGCAACCUAAAAAAAGGAAUUUGCUGAAUGGCGUUUUGUGCCAGCGUCGCGGUUAUAAAUAGCCGAAGUGACACUCCUCUUUGCAGGAUGAGUUUCUGAAUAUUUCUGAUCAGCAAAGAGUUCUAGCUGCAAAUAACAAUAAGUGAGGGAAAUGUGUAUAAAUAAAAGGCAUUAAAAACCCUUUCUGUGUCGGAUCGGCGUCACAUCUUGAAGCUCACAUCAAAGGGACUCAAUUAGCAGACGCAUUUUCUAAUUACAUGUUCUAAUUUUCAACAAAUCUGGGUUUCUAAUGAAGCUCUGAUUAAUGGUCCAGAUGGUAAGGACCAGACCCGACAUUCCGCAGCGUGCAGAAGCGCACUGGAAAUGCCAAGAAGACCACCUGAUGCUCAAGAACCAGCCUCAUCUCGCUUGCCCAGGCACCUUCCUUCUUUCCAAUCCCUCCCAAAUUGCCCCAAGCAGUCCCCAUGCCUAAACGUACCCAAAGGAGCCAAUGGUGAAAGCAGGUGCAGAUGACGGCACUGUAAAAUGGAACGGCAACAAAACCACCCCACUGACCACUCCUGCCAUCUGCUAUCAGCAUUUUCCCUUUGCCAUCUUGAUUUGGGCAUGCAAACAGCAGACAUAGCCCUUUUUUUGCAGCAUUACCCACAGGUGGUCUCGCAGGCAUCAUUUCUCAUUACAGAAAAGGUUCCCUGUAAACCUCCCCUGGGUGUUAGUUGCCAUUUCCAGCAUUAAUCACUCCCUGCAUAACGAGCACAGCGCUGCAGGGUUCCUCUCAGUGUAAGGAGCUCAGACCUUCCAUGGGACCCCACAGCCCCAGCACACCUCCAGGAGGGAGCAGGGCACAGAAGUCACCAAACCCAUGCUGUGGCCAUGGAUCUGCACUGCCAGCAGAGCUGUCACGUGCCCUACAAAGACAGGCUUGUAGGAAACCCCGUCUGUCAUGCGCAAGCAGGAAAGCCUGGGUCCUCCAGCUGAGCUGGGAUGAGCAGCUCUUGGCUGACAGAUGCCAUCUCUCUUCCUCGUUGCAAUACAAAUACCCGAUGGGUUCAAUUGCUGUGCCACUUGUCUGCAAGUCAGAGCAGAUUCUAAGCCCCCCUACGAGACCAUCCCUGCCAUGAAGAAUGUGAGCUUGGAGUGACAGGACACAGCACAGGAGAAAGAGGCACAGACAACUCAGUCCAUUCCUGGAUUCCCCUUCCGUCCUGAUGGAAAGGAAAUCUCUGUGGAUUUUACUUUUCUUUCCUUUAAGACACUGUUAUGGUACUAAUGGGGCCUUGCUCCACUCUCCAUGGCUGGACAGCUGUAUCUAUCUUGGAUCUAACUCUUGAAUCCCAUUAGCUUUCAAACCUGCACUCCACCUGCCCCUGGUCCACAGCCAGCACUGACUCCUUGGCUUCCCAAGGGCCCUUCCAAAGCACUGGUACUAUAGCUGUGUGGGUUUUCUGAUGCUCUCCUGACCUGCAACACAACCCACAAGGAACAGAUGCAUGGACAGAAGAGCCGUAUUUUUCUUUACAGAUGAGUCCAACAGAUCUGGAUUGAGGCAAGAAUGAAAACAAAGACACUUAUCCUAACGUCCUAACCACUCCAAGAUCCUUUUUGACUUUUGCAACUGUCUUUUAACAUCACAGUCCUAAAAAGCACAGGAAUCUGUAAUAAACUGCAACAGAAUUGAGCUGGAAGUGAGAAAUACCAGAGCAGACCUUUGGCUGUUGAAUUGUAUUCUCUCAUAGUGCUGCAGCCCCAUGUAUAAAUAGACAGCCUACUCUGAAAGAACAUGUCUAACAAUGCUGCUAACAUUGUCUAACAGCUCCAAGGGAAAUUUCUCUCCGGCAUCAGAUGUAGUUGAACUAAACUUAUAUAAAAAAAAGAAGUCAGCAUAGGUUUCAUUUUAAAUUUAAGCAUCAAGUCUAACACGGUCAGCAGGACUCCCAUCCUAUCCUCUUUCAUUUCCCUCCAUACAGGACACGUUCCUGAGGGUGGUAGAUCAGGCUGUGCUUGAUUCUUUCUACAGUCUAUAAAGGGCUCAGGCAGUGUACUUCACUUCUGGAAGGCUGCAGCUAAGUAGGAUGAAGUGCUUGCUGCAUUCAGCAUCAGAAAAUACAGGUCAAGUAAAAAGAGCCUGCAAAUGUUUUUGAGUAUCAUCAUUCUGAAACAAAUCCCGCGACUUCCUAGAACCUUGACUUAACUUUUGCAAGCUGAAUGGCAUUUAUACGCCUGUGCCAGCAAGGUGUUUCCCUUGACCUAGCAACUGUUACUAUAAUCUGAGCUCAGCUCAGUGAGCCAGUGCCACAGCUCGCACUGCCAGUGGGAAUGAAGCUUCGGCCUCUUCAGAAAAUGAAGAAAUUACUGACUGACCACUAGUUGGAAAUACUACAAACCUUCGGCGGAUUAAAGAAGAUUAAUGGAGAAAGAAGACAUUGAGCAUUCACUGGCAUUAAUACAGAGGCUGAGAUGUCUAAGUAGCUGGGCUGCCCAGUCUUAGACAUGGUGUGGUAACUUUGAGAAGAGAUUUUGAUUUAUUUUAUGGACAAUGAUUAUGAUUUAGAGGAAAAAUGCUCCCGCCCAGGAUAGAAGAAGUUGGGUGGCUGGAUGCCUGCCGUGCUCCUGCCUGCCCUGGGUGACUGCGGUCGGUCCAAAGCCUUUCCCCUGGCAUGGGCAUCGCAGAGAGCAGCAGGCAGGGCUCAGGCUGUGCACCAGGGUCUGCCUUCAUUGCUUUUAGCACUGGAACAGGACCACAUGUGGUACUGAGCACGGACCACAGGGUGGGAAGGCACAGCCAAGCUGGGGCUGGACCAUGCAGCGUGCAGACGUCACCCUGCUCUCCUUCCAGCCCUCCCGAUGGGAUCUGCAGACUGGCCACAGCCCAGACUGAGUGAUUAAGUGCCACUGACAAAAGAAACUCCAUGUACGGUAUUGGACUUUAUUUAUUAUCCUAAUUGGUUUUUAUGCUAAGAUGGAGUCAUUGCUGGGAAACGCACCUCAAAGCGUCUCAAACCCUGCUAACCCACAUUAUUCUCAAAUAAAAGGAGAAAAUGCACCUUGCCCUGAUUUCCAGGCAGCAUUAGAGAUGCUGGGAGGUGGGAGCAGAAGCUGAGAUGAGCACAGGGCAGGAUGAGAGAAGAAUACGGGAAGGAGGGGAAGGUCAGACACUGGGUGUGAGCACCCAUGUCCCCAGUAUUUCAGACAGAAGGGCCAACACAAGCUCCAGUUGGUGCCAGCUGCUGUGCAUCAUUCCAUCUUCCAGGAGCUGGGCUGAGAACACAAACUCUUUUUCUUCAAGUCUUCCUCCAGCUGCUGACAGGGCUGGGACUUAAACACGGAGAAUUAGAUUUGAAAAGCUCCGUAUCUCAUUAAUAAUCUGUCGAGCCAUUAAGUGCACUCAAUGGAGAUUUUACCACCAUUUUUUUUGCCAUUGCAGGAGCAAAUUACAUGACCUUCCUCCCAGCCUUGGAGUAAUGGCACAAGUGGCUUUCCCUGCAGUUAGCUAUGGAAACAGCCAGGUAUCCCAUGCCAGGGGCGUCAUUUAAAAAACAAUUACUGCAGAGCAGAUGAGAAGUACUUUUUAUCUUUGGCCUUGAUUGCAUUUCAAAACUGAUACCUUCUUCCUCCCAUCGUUUCAUUUACAUAUCAAAAUAAUUGCCUCCGCAAUUCAGCAGAUUGCUGCAGCGCUGCCUGCCAGGAGCUGGGCAGAGCUGGGCACAGCGCAGCGCACCACGAAGCACAGGAACAGCUCAGCCCAUCCUGAAGAAACGUCCUCACAAAGAAGCUGAGGACAGGCCAAUGUCAUGCCAACCGUGAGAUGAAACCCCCUCAAGUCCUUUCCUCUUUGUCACCUCAGAUCAAUACUAAAAACCUCCUGAGUUAUCCGUAUUUUGUGCAAAAACAGAAAAUGCGCAAGGGCUUGGAGAGAAAGAUGAUGGAAGAAGGAUAAAAAAUGUGGGAGAGCAGAAGGAGAUAGAGACAUUUUGUUGGACAGGUUACCAAGACUUCAUGCUUCUGGAUGACAUAGCAAGUUUUCCAUAAAUGAAAAGAAUCACAAAACCUUGAACAACCAACACAACAGCCUGGAACCCCACGAGGAUUAACGUUCUUCUGCAAUAGUAGGAAGAGACAAUUUUCUUGUCGGGAGUUCUGAAGCCCUUAAUAAAUCUUACGUUAAAAAAAAAAAAAAAAAAAGAAAGGAAGAAAUCAUGAGCUACGUCUCAUUUGCCCCAAUGAUAGCCUGUCUCCUUGAGAUCUAAUGGGAAACUUAAUGACCCCAGAAUUUUACUCCUGCACAAAGUGCUCCUGCAGGACCUGAAAGAAAACUGUAAAGCACCGCAGCAGGAGAGCUACAGCCCCACGCCAGCCCCCCGCGGAGCAGCACUGCACAGCAGGAGCACGCGGGCACCUCCUUCCUCCUCCCCCCGCUGUGCUGCUGUGACUCUGCCGUGCACAGAGAUGCCCCCAGUGAUGGAUUCCCUCGGUAACAGCGCAAGCUCUUUUAAUAAGACAAAGAAAAGGGAAAUAAAUCCCUCGGCUCAUUUUUAAAACUGCUUCUCCUUCCCUCUAUGAGCAUCCCUUAGCCCUGCCAUCAUCCUGUAAGGGUUUUCUCCAUUAACGCACGCCCAAGUUUGCCAUCUCUACACUUCAGCCCGGUGCAAGCACAACUAAAAGCUCCUUGCUGCAGUCCCCAAGCCUCGCUGGAGUGCUAGCAGAGACUUUCCACCUUUACCUGAAGAUUUUUCGUCUUCCUUACUUAAGACUCUCCAAAGAUCCACCAGACCCAAAGAGGCACCCUGAGCGUGCACCCUGCACAAGCAUCAGAGAACGGGGCAAUGCAGAGAGAACCUUCUGCCCGGCGCCAGCGAUGCAGGUGGCUGUGAAUGCUGAUCAUGGGACCAAAGGGAAACGCUCCGCGAUUUACCUGGCAGAAAGCUCUGCAAGAAGAUGUGUCAACCUGCAGCUGCAGAGGACUGCGGUGCGAUUUGCUUUUCUGUCUUUUCCUUAAUUGCUCACUUACAGGAGGUGGCAAUAAAAGCUGAAUGAAGUUCA
Long non-coding RNA from Numida meleagris (helmeted guineafowl), 7204 nucleotides. RefSeq lists it as uncharacterized. The record is from RefSeq and is a predicted model, not a curated record. NCBI's taxonomy places the organism in Eukaryota, Metazoa, Chordata, Aves, Galliformes, Numididae. The transcript has 2 exons.